CACGGAAGUUCACGUAGGGAGGAGACUGCUGUUUGUGUUCAGUGUGAAACUAAAAGUCAACAUUAAAUUAUACUGAUUUACGUCCGUAGCUUAAUAACAUAACACACAGUCAUUUUAAGCCAGACCAUGAUGUUUUUUUACUAAACCUAACCAAGUGUUUUGUUUUGUUUUGUUUAAAUUUACAACGUGUAUAAAACUGCAACC
Molecule: long non-coding RNA, 204 nt
Organism: Sebastes umbrosus (honeycomb rockfish)
Lineage: Eukaryota; Metazoa; Chordata; Actinopteri; Perciformes; Sebastidae
Exons: 4
Source: RefSeq, a predicted model, not a curated record